Molecule: long non-coding RNA, 429 nt
Organism: Oncorhynchus keta (chum salmon)
Lineage: Eukaryota; Metazoa; Chordata; Actinopteri; Salmoniformes; Salmonidae
Exons: 3
Source: RefSeq, a predicted model, not a curated record
GGGAGACAGUCAGGUCUCGGACCAGUCCCUCUCAGAAAGUAUAUAACUCAGGCCUGAGUCAGGUCUCGGACCAGUCCCUCUCAGAAAGUAUAUAACUCAGGCCAGACAGUCAGGUCUCGGACCAGUCCCCCUCAGAAAGUAUAUAACUCAGGCCUGACAGUCAGGUCUCGGACCAGUCCCUCUCAGAAAGUAUAUAACUCAGGCCAGACAGUCAGGUCUCUGACCAGUCCCCCUCAGAAAGUAUAUAACUCAGGCCUGACAGUCAGGUCUCGGACCAGUCCCUCUCAGAAAGUAUAUAACUCAGGCCUGACAGUCAGGUCUCUGACCAGUCCCCCUCAGAAAGUAUAUAACUCAGGCCAGACAGUCAGGUCUCGGACCAGUCCCUCUCUGUUCUUCCUCUACCGGAUCAUCGUCAUCACGUCGCCAACA